GACGAACGCUGGCGGCGUGCUUAACACAUGCAAGUCGAACGGAAAGGCCCCUUUGGGGGUACUCGAGUGGCGAACGGGUGAGUAACACGUGAGUAACCUGCCCUUGACUUCGGGAUAACUUCAGGAAACUGGGGCUAAUACCGGAUAGGAAUCCUUGCUGCAUGGUGGGGGUUGGAAAGCUUCGGCGGUUUUGGAUGGACUCGCGGCUUAUCAGCUUGGUGGUGGGGUAGUGGCUUACCAAGGCUUUGACGGGUAGCCGGCCUGAGAGGGCGACCGGCCACAUUGGGACUGAGAUACGGCCCAGACUCCUACGGGAGGCAGCAGUGGGGAAUAUUGCACAAUGGGCGGAAGCCUGAUGCAGCAACGCCGCGUGCGGGAUGACGGCCUUCGGGUUGUAAACCGCUUUCAGCAGGGGCGAAGCUUGUGGUGACGGUACCUGCAGAAGAAGCACCGGCUAACUACGUG
RNAcentral lists this ribosomal RNA (465 nucleotides) under uncultured bacterium. RNAcentral's name for it is "partial 16S ribosomal RNA". It matches the Rfam family "Bacterial small subunit ribosomal RNA", at positions 28 to 507 of the family's 1533-position model. The record is from RNAcentral.